CAAACUCGAAGCCCAACACACAAAGUUGCAAAAGUAAGCAAUUUGGUUUUCCGUUCCUUUCUUUUCUUUUCUUUUCUUUGUCCUUUCUGCUCUGCUAGACNNUCUGCUAGACAUGAAUGGGGAGGGAAAAUGGGGAGAUGAGGGACUGAAAAUGGAGGAAAUGGUUAAGGAUAAGUUGGUUUUUAUGUGGGGAUACCUUCCGGGAGC
RNAcentral lists this unclassified non-coding RNA (207 nucleotides) under Hevea brasiliensis (rubber tree). The record is from RNAcentral. Lineage: Eukaryota; Viridiplantae; Streptophyta; Magnoliopsida; Malpighiales; Euphorbiaceae.